AGGCCGGUUACUCAGUCAGUUGAAUGUAGCGCUAACAACGCUAAGGUCACGGGUUCAAUUCCCAUUCAGUCUC
Molecule: transfer RNA, 73 nt
Filed under: Apaloderma vittatum (bar-tailed trogon)
Lineage: Eukaryota; Metazoa; Chordata; Aves; Trogoniformes; Trogonidae
Rfam family: tRNA
About the family: Transfer RNA (tRNA) molecules are approximately 80 nucleotides in length. Their secondary structure includes four short double-helical elements and three loops (D, anti-codon, and T loops). Further hydrogen bonds mediate the characteristic L-shaped molecular structure. tRNAs have two regions of fundamental functional importance: the anti-codon, which is responsible for specific mRNA codon recognition, and the 3' end, to which the tRNAs corresponding amino acid is attached (by aminoacyl-tRNA synthetases). tRNAs cope with the degeneracy of the genetic code in two manners: having more than one tRNA (with a specific anti-codon) for a particular amino acid; and 'wobble' base-pairing, i.e. permitting non-standard base-pairing at the 3rd anti-codon position.
Source: Rfam by way of RNAcentral